GUGGCCGCCAAGGGGUGUUCAGUAAAACCUGAACUGAGAUGUCUGUAUGACGAACCCUUAGAACCUGAUCCGGCUUAUACCGGCGUAGGAAUGGGCCACACUAUCUUU
RNAcentral lists this non-coding RNA (108 nucleotides) under Shewanella frigidimarina. RNAcentral's name for it is "TPP sequence". It matches the Rfam family "TPP riboswitch aptamer (THI element)". From Rfam's summary of the family: Vitamin B(1) in its active form thiamin pyrophosphate (TPP) is an essential coenzyme that is synthesised by coupling of pyrimidine and thiazole moieties in bacteria. The previously detected thiamin-regulatory element, thi box was extended, resulting in a new, highly conserved RNA secondary structure, the THI element, which is widely distributed in eubacteria and also occurs in some archaea. Lineage: Bacteria; Pseudomonadati; Pseudomonadota; Gammaproteobacteria; Alteromonadales; Shewanellaceae. The record is from RNAcentral. RNAcentral also lists the same sequence under 1 other name.